CCGACGGUGAGAGAUGAAAGCUGGGGGCACGAACCGGAUUAGAUACCCGGGUAGUCCCAGCCGUAAACGAUGCUCGCUAGGUGUCUGGGAUGGUGCGACCGUUUCAGGUGCCGCAGGGAAGCCGUGAAGCGAGCCACCUGGGAAGUACGGCCGCGAGGCUGAAACUUAAAGGAAUUGGCGGGGGAGCACUACAACGGGUGGAGCCUGCGGUUUAAUUGGACUCAACGCCGGAAAACUCACCUGGGGC
Molecule: ribosomal RNA, 247 nt
Filed under: uncultured archaeon
Lineage: Archaea
Description: partial 16S ribosomal RNA
Rfam family: Archaeal small subunit ribosomal RNA
Source: RNAcentral